UUUACUCCUGCUGCUUAAUGACUUGACAUUUUAGUACUGUUUGCCUUGACGUAUUCAGAAUACUGCUUCCGAGCAUCUUUGCUCACCAGUAUAAUUAGGUCCCCAUCCUUCUAAUACUUGCACAUGUACUCAACUUUAAGUUCACCAGUAGUACCACUGAUUUUAAUAGGAACUAGUCACAUGCUUAAAGUGAAGCAUGUGCAUAAAUGUUUGCAGGAUAGGGACCUUAGUUGUUGUAAUUCUUUGCCCAUAGUAAUGUAGGCCUGGUCUAAACUGGAACGUUUUUUGAUAUAUCUUUAGUUUUUUUCAGUAUAAAUUGCUUUGCAGUCACACACAAAUUCUCUCUUUUUGCUUUAUUUUGCAUCUUAUCCAGCUAUAACUAAUCCGCUUUGAAGCAACAUAACUUUAUUUCAGAAUGAGUUAUAGAAGUGUAAGGUUUGUAUGGACACAUCUCCAUUUCAGAUGAACAGCACUGCUUCAGGUAGUCCUCCCACUACCAUCCCCACCUGCACAUUACUUCACAUCUACAUUGGCCUGCCUGGUUACUGGUGCUUUGGGGUACUCUUGACUGGAUGUCCCCCCUCUGUUUAAACACUGGCAUAUACCCAUAGCCAUCUGUGUGAUAAAUUCACAGACACCAAAUCCUUUCAAGCCAUCAUGCUCUGUACUUCUGCAUGUUCCCAUCAGGGAAUGCUGUAUUGCCUUGCCCUGUGGAGAGAAGAACAUGUUUACUUUCAUCAGUCCAGUAGUCACCGGAAUGCCAAGAUCUACCAGCAGCUAGCACAGCAAAUUCAGGAGAAGGGGUGCUCUUGGGACAUGAGCCAAUGCUGUGCCAAAACAAGCAGCUGAUUCAGAAUUACUAAAAAUGCUAAAGAUAAAAACAAGACCUCCGUUAAUGCUCCCAUCACAUGUGUGUGCUAUGAAGAGCUGGACUGAAUUUUUGCCUUUUGAAAGAGGACACCACAGAACCCCGGUAUAUGUCGACAUCUGAGCCAUGGUCUGUACUAAAACAGACACACCUUUGGAAACUACACAGGCAACUAUGGACACCUGUCCAGGAGGAAUUUCCCCUGGGCAACCAAGAUCUCUUUAACAGAGACCCAGCUUGAUACACCCCCAGGGACCCUUCCAGAGAGCUAGGGUGAGAGUGCUGCAGAGGGGAUCUCAUCCACCUGUGGCAUGGCACAGCCCACAUCGAACGGGGUGUUACCAAUAGCUGAGUUCCUGGCAAUCCUCUGAGGGAAGAGAGAGAAGACAAAGAAGAUGUUUGGUGACCUCGUGAAGGAGUCCCAGCAGAGGGCAAAAAACUCUAGGGAACGGAGCGAAAGAUUUGUGCUGCAGGACAGGAAUGAGGGAAAGGACAACAGGGCAUAUGCCGAGGAGCUGUCAAGAGAUCACAUGGACUGACUGACCAGAGAAAGGGACCUGCAGGAAAGAAUGCUGGACAUGAUGCAGAAGGAGACAAGUUUGCUGGAGAACAAUAUUAUGCUGUAUUCAUGUGUAACGCUCUAACCUAAUCCUGUGCUGCCACCUAUUCAGAUCACAGUGUACUGGGAGCCCCCUUUCAUUCCCCAGCUGCAAGAGAGAGACAGUUCCCUCACCAUUCAACCCCCAAGACAAGGAGAGAACACCAAUGAUCCCCAUCUACACAUUUUUGAGUCCCUAUUUUAACAAACAUAUAUUCACUCUAUACCUUGGUUACUUCUGUACUAUUUUAAUUCUUUUUAAGUUUGCUCUUUCUUGUUAUGUGUUAAAUCAAUAGUUUUGUUUACCAUUGCACGUGUAUCAAUGACAUUUUUAAGCCAGCUCUUCCUACCAAUAUGCAUUCCUAAUAAAAUUAAUUCACAAACUGUA
Dermochelys coriacea (leatherback sea turtle) is the source of this 1854-nucleotide long non-coding RNA. RefSeq lists it as uncharacterized. NCBI's taxonomy places the organism in Eukaryota, Metazoa, Chordata, Testudines, Dermochelyidae. The record is from RefSeq and is a predicted model, not a curated record. The transcript is spliced from 2 exons.